AGUGAACGCUGGCGGUAGGCCUAACACAUGCAAGUCGAACGGCAGCACAGUAAGAGCUUGCUCUUACGGGUGGCGAGUGGCGGACGGGUGAGGAAUACAUCGGAAUCUACUUUUUCGUGGGGGAGAACGUAGGGAAAAUUACGCUAAUACCGCAUACGACCUACGGGUGAAAGCAGGGGAUCUUCGGACCUUGCGCGAUUGAAUGAGCCGAUGUCGGAUUAGCUAGUUGGCGGGGUAAAGGCCCACCAAGGCGACGAUCCGUAGCUGGUCUGAGAGGAUGGUCAGCCACACUGGAACUGAGACACGGUCCAGACUCCUACGGGAGGCAGCAGUGGGGAAUAUUGGACAAUGGGCGCAAGCCUGAUCCAGCCAUACCGCGUGGGUGAAGAAGGCCUUCGGGUUGUAAAGCCCUUUUGUUGGGAAAGAAAAGCAGCAGGUUAAUACCCCGCUGUUCUGACGGUACCCAAAGAAUAAGCACCGGCUAACUUCGUG
Molecule: ribosomal RNA, 492 nt
Filed under: uncultured bacterium
Lineage: Bacteria
Description: partial 16S ribosomal RNA
Rfam family: Bacterial small subunit ribosomal RNA
Source: RNAcentral